GACGAACGCUGGCGGCGCGCCUAACACAUGCAAGUCGAACGAGCGGGCGGAGGUUUACUUUCUCAAUCGAGUGGCGAACGGGUGAGUAACGCGUGAGGAACCUGCCUCAAAGAGGGGGACAACAGUUGGAAACGACUGCUAAUACCGCAUAAGCGCACGAGCCGGCAUGGGGGAGAGGGAAAAGGGGCAGUCCGCUUUGAGAUGGCGUCGCGUCCGAUUAGCUAGGUGGUGGGGUGAUGGCCCACCAAGGCGACGAUCAGUAGCCGGGCGGGGGGGCGGACCGGUCACAUUGGGACUGAGACACGGACCAGUCUCCGACGCAGGGGAGGAGUGGGGUAUAUUGCAGGAUGGGGGAAGACCUGAUGACGCGGCGCCGGGGGGAGGGAGAAGGUGUUCGGAUUGUGAACUCCUGUUGUUGAGGAAGAUAAUGACGGUACUCAACAAGGAAGCGACGGCUAACUACGUG
RNAcentral lists this ribosomal RNA (466 nucleotides) under uncultured bacterium. RNAcentral describes it as "partial 16S ribosomal RNA". It matches the Rfam family "Bacterial small subunit ribosomal RNA", at positions 28 to 507 of the family's 1533-position model. The record is from RNAcentral.